AUUUGAAAUCGCCGUCGCCUUCCAGUUGCACGGCGACUUGUAGUUUCGAGAGGCGCUUUCUCGGCGGCAUCGGACGCGUCCAAGUCGCUUGGAACGGCGCGUCACGGAGGGUGAGAACCCCGUCUACGGCGCGUCCGGCCGCUCACGAUGCGCUUUCCAAGAGUCGGGUUGUUUGGGAUUGCAGCCCAAAACGGGUGGUAAACUCCAUCUAAAGCUAAAUACGGGCGCGAGACCGAUAGCGAACAAGUACCGUGAGGGAAAGAUGAAAAGAACUUUGAGAAGAGAGUUAAAAAGUACGUGAAACCGUCCGAAGGGAAACGAAUGGAGUCAGCAAUGCGUCCCUGUGCUUGAGGUUCAGCCGGCGGGAGGCCGAGGCGCCGAGUGUAACUGCCGCCGCUCGCGGAUCCGCACGGACCGCGGCUCGGCGCGCUCGGAUUUUGCUCUUCCCGCCGUCGCAUUUCUCUGGGGCGCGCGUCAACGUGGGUUGGCACCGGGCUUGAAAGACUCCGGCAAGGUAGGACGCGGAGGCUGCCUCCGACCGUCCCUUCGUGGGCGGCGGCAUCGGGCCGAAAGGCGUCAGCUCCGUUUACAGGCCGGCUCCUUCUCCUCUCCGCCCCCCUUUUGGCUUGCCGAGGCGGGGGGUUGGAGGGCAUCGAGAGUACGAUGGCCCGGGGCCGACCGUGGUGGAUGCAGCGCACGCCUGGCUUGGCGAGGGCCCCGCUCCUUCGGUCGGCGUUCUUACCGCGGUGGGACUGCUCGCAGUGCCCCGCGAACAGGCGCCGGUUGUUUGGAUGGCGGGUGAGGCAAAUGUGGCCCAUACUGUGCGCUUAGGAUGCUGGCGGUGAAAUGGCUCUAUCCGACCCGUCUUGAAACACGGACCAAGGAGUCUAACAUGUGCGCGAGUCUUCGGGUGGCAGAAACCCUUAGGCGCAAUGAAAGUGAACGAUCAGGAGGCGAGAACCUCGCGUCGGCACGAAGACCGAGGCGCAUCGUCGACCGACCUGUCCUACUCUUAGGAAGGUUUGAGUAUGA
Molecule: ribosomal RNA, 1032 nt
Filed under: Discosoma sp. 1 MSB-2008
Lineage: Eukaryota; Metazoa; Cnidaria; Anthozoa; Corallimorpharia; Discosomidae
Description: eukaryotic LSU rRNA
Rfam family: Eukaryotic large subunit ribosomal RNA
Source: RNAcentral